AGAGUUUGAUCCUGGCUCAGAUUGAACGCUGGCGGCAUGCUUUACACAUGCAAGUCGAACGGCAGCACGGGCUUCGGCCUGGUGGCGAGUGGCGAACGGGUGAGUAAUGCAUCGGAACGUGCCCAUGUCGUGGGGGAUAACGUAGCGAAAGCUACGCUAAUACCGCAUACGCCCUGAGGGGGAAAGCGGGGGAUUCUUCGGAACCUCGCGCGAUUGGAGCGGCCGAUGUCGGAUUAGCUAGUAGGUGAGGUAAAGGCUCACCUAGGCGACGAUCCGUAGCGGGUCUGAGAGGAUGAUCCGCCACACUGGGGCUGAGACACGGCCCAGACUCCUACGGGAGGCAGCAGUGGGGAAUUUUGGACAAUGGGGGCAACCCUGAUCCAGCCAUGCCGCGUGAGUGAAGAAGGCCUUCGGGUUGUAAAGCUCUUUCGGCCGGGAAGAAAUCGGCGACUCUAACAUAGUCGCUGGAUGACGGUACCGGACUAAGAAGCACCGGCUAACUACGUGCCAGCAGCCGCGGUAAUACGUAGGGUGCGAGCGUUAAUCGGAAUUACUGGGCGUAAAGCGUGCGCAGGCGGUUUUGUAAGACAGAUGUGAAAUCCCCGGGCUUAACCUGGGAACUGCGUUUGUGACUGCAAGGCUAGAGUACGGCAGAGGGGGGUGGAAUUCCACGUGUAGCAGUGAAAUGCGUAGAGAUGUGGAGGAACACCGAUGGCGAAGGCAGCCCCCUGGGCCUGUACUGACGCUCAUGCACGAAAGCGUGGGGAGCAAACAGGAUUAGAUACCCUGGUAGUCCACGCCCUAAACGAUGUCGUCUAGUCGUUCGGAGCAGCAAUGCACUGAGUGACGCAUCUAACGCGUGAAGUCGACCGCCUGGGGAGUACGGCCGCAAGGU
This 895-nucleotide ribosomal RNA is filed under the name uncultured bacterium. Its description in RNAcentral is "bacterial SSU rRNA". It matches the Rfam family "Bacterial small subunit ribosomal RNA", at positions 8 to 894 of the family's 1533-position model. The record is from RNAcentral.